GAGUUUGAUCCUGGCUCAGAUUGAACGCUGGCGGCAGGCCUAACACAUGCAAGUCGAGCGGUAGAGAGAAGCUUGCUUCUCUUGAGAGCGGCGGACGGGUGAGUAAUGCCUAGGAAUCUGCCUGGUAGUGGGGGAUAACGCUCGGAAACGGACGCUAAUACCGCAUACGUCCUACGGGAGAAAGCAGGGGACCUUCGGGCCUUGCGCUAUCAGAUGAGCCUAGGUCGGAUUAGCUAGUUGGUGAGGUAAUGGCUCACCAAGGCGACGAUCCGUAACUGGUCUGAGAGGAUGAUCAGUCACACUGGAACUGAGACACGGUCCAGACUCCUACGGGAGGCAGCAGUGGGGAAUAUUGGACAAUGGGCGAAAGCCUGAUCCAGCCAUGCCGCGUGUGUGAAGAAGGUCUUCGGAUUGUAAAGCACUUUAAGUUGGGAGGAAGGGCAGUAAAUUAAUAACUUUGCUGUUUUGACGUUACCGACAGAAUAAGCACCGGCUAACUCUGUGCCAGCCGCC
This 513-nucleotide ribosomal RNA is filed under the name uncultured bacterium. Its description in RNAcentral is "bacterial SSU rRNA". It matches the Rfam family "Bacterial small subunit ribosomal RNA", at positions 9 to 516 of the family's 1533-position model. The record is from RNAcentral.